UGAGCUUAACUUAGGAAUUGCAUUCGAUACUGGAAAGCUAGAGUAUGGAGAGGAUGGUAGAAUUCCCAGGUGUAGCGGUGAAAUGCGUAGAGAUCUGGAGGAAUACCGAUGGGGAAGGCAGCCAUCUGGCCUAAUACUGACGCUGAGGUACGAAAGCAUGGGGAGCAAACAGGAUUAGAUACCCUGGUAGUCCAUGCCGUAAACGAUGUCUACUAGCCGUUGGGGCCUUUGAGGCUUUAGUGGCGCAGCUAACGCGAUAAGUAGACCGCCUGGGGAGUACGGUCGCAAGACUAAAACUCAAAUGAAUUGACGGGGGCCCGCACAAGCGGUGGAGCAUGUGGUUUAAUUCGAUGCAACGCGAAGAACCUUACCUGGCCUUGACAUACUAAGAACUUUCCAGAGAUGGAUUGGUGCCUUCGGGAACUUAGAUACAGGUGCUGCAUGGCUGUCGUCAGCUCGUGUCGUGAGAUGUUGGGUUAAGUCCCGCAACGAGCGCAACCCUUUUCCUUAUUUGCCAUCGGGUAAUGCCGGGAACUUUAAGGAUACUGCCAGUGACAAACUGGAGGAAGGCGGGGACGACGUCAAGUCAUCAUGGCCCUUACGGCCAGGGCUACACACGUGCUACAAUGGUCGGUACAAAGGGUUGCUACCUCGCGAGAGGAUGCUAAUCUCAAAAAGCCGAUCGUAGUCCGGAUCGCAGUCUGCAACUCGACUGCGUGAAGUCGGAAUCGCUAGUAAUCGCGGAUCAGAAUGCCGCGGUGAAUAC
Molecule: ribosomal RNA, 766 nt
Filed under: uncultured bacterium
Lineage: Bacteria
Description: bacterial SSU rRNA
Rfam family: Bacterial small subunit ribosomal RNA
Source: RNAcentral